This 300-nucleotide ribosomal RNA is filed under the name uncultured Halobellus sp. RNAcentral's name for it is "bacterial SSU rRNA". It matches the Rfam family "Bacterial small subunit ribosomal RNA", at positions 496 to 795 of the family's 1533-position model. Lineage: Archaea; Methanobacteriati; Methanobacteriota; Halobacteria; Halobacteriales; Haloferacaceae. The record is from RNAcentral.
UAUGAGUGUGGGCGAGCAGGCGCGGUAAGAGAGUGGUUGCAAGGGUGGUUCGGGUUCAUUGGGGGGAAAGGGUGCGUAGGCGGAGCGGUAAGGCGGGUGUGAAAUCGCGGGGCUGAAGGCCGAAACUGCAGUCGAUACUGCCGUGCUUGAGGACUGGAGAGGAGACUGGAAUUUACGGUGGAGCGGUGAAAUGCGUAGAUAUCGUAAGGAAGACCAGUGGCGAAGGCGGGUCUCUGGACAGUUCCUGACGCUGAGGCACGAAGGUCAGGGGAGCAAACGGGAUUAGAUACCCUAGUAGUC